GAUGAACGCUGGCGGUAUGCCUAAUACAUGCAAGUCGUGCGGAAAGGCCCCUUCGGGGGUACUCGAGCGGCGGACGGCAGAGUAACGCGUAGGAACGUACCCCAAACUGAGGGAUAACUGCUCGAAAGAGUAGCUAAUACCGCAUGUGGUCUUCGGACUAAAGCUUCGGCGGUUUGGGAACGGCCUGCGUUCGAUUAGCUAGUUGGUGAGGUAAAUGCUCACCAAGGCGACGAUCGAUAGCUGGUCUGAGAGCAUGAUCCCCCANACGGGUACUGAGACACGGACCCGACUCCUACGGGAGGCAGCAGUAAGGAAUAUUGGACAAUGGUCGGAAGACUGAUCCAGCCAUGCCGCGUGAAAGGAUGAAGGCGCUCAGCGUUGUAAAACUUCUUUUGUACGGGAACAAAAUGCGACCUGCGGUUGUACUGAGGGUACCGUAAGAAUAAGCACCGGCUAAACUCCGUGCCAGCAGCCG
Molecule: ribosomal RNA, 475 nt
Filed under: uncultured bacterium
Lineage: Bacteria
Description: bacterial SSU rRNA
Rfam family: Bacterial small subunit ribosomal RNA
Source: RNAcentral